This 421-nucleotide ribosomal RNA is filed under the name uncultured bacterium. RNAcentral describes it as "bacterial SSU rRNA". It matches the Rfam family "Bacterial small subunit ribosomal RNA", at positions 355 to 787 of the family's 1533-position model. The record is from RNAcentral.
GGGGGGAUAUUGCACAAUGGGGGAAACCCUGAUGCAGCGACGCCGCGUGAAGGAAGAAGGCCUUCGGGUUGUAAACUUCUGUCGUACGGGACGAUAAUGACGGUACCGUACAAGAAAGCCACGGCUAACUACGUGCCAGCAGCCGCGGUAAAACGUAGGUGGCAAGCGUUGUCCGGAAUUACUGGGUGUAAAGGGAGCGCAGGCGGACUAGCAAGUUGGAAGUGAAAUCUAUGGGCUCAACCCAUAAAAUUGCUUUCAAAAAUCAUGCCGGUCUUGAGUAGUGCAGAGGUAGGCGGAAUUCCCGGUGUAGCGGUGGAAUGCGUAGAUAUCGGGAGGAACACCAGUGGCGAAGGCGGCCUACUGGGCACCAAACUGACGCUGAGGCUCGAAAAGUAUGGGUAGCAAACAGGAUUAGAUACCC